GACGAACGCUGGCGGCGUGCUUAACACAUGCAAGUCGAACGGAAAGGCCCUGCUUUUGUGGGGUGCUCGAGUGGCGAACGGGUGAGUAACACGUGAGUAACCUGCCCUUGACUUUGGGAUAACUUCAGGAAACUGGGGCUAAUACCGGAUAGGAGCUCCUGCUGCAUGGUGGGGGUUGGAAAGUUUCGGCGGUUGGGGAUGGACUCGCGGCUUAUCAGCUUGUUGGUGGGGUAGUGGCUUACCAAGGCUUUGACGGGUAGCCGGCCUGAGAGGGUGACCGGCCACAUUGGGACUGAGAUACGGCCCAGACGCCUACGGGAGGCAGCGGUGGGGAAUAUUGCACAAUGGGCGGAAGCCUGAUGCAGCAACGCCGCGUGCGGGAUGACGGCCUUCGGGUUGUAAACCGCUUUCGCCUGUGACGAAGCGUGAGUGACGGUAAUGGGUAAAGAAGCACCGGCUAACUACGUG
RNAcentral lists this ribosomal RNA (468 nucleotides) under uncultured bacterium. RNAcentral describes it as "partial 16S ribosomal RNA". It matches the Rfam family "Bacterial small subunit ribosomal RNA", at positions 28 to 507 of the family's 1533-position model. The record is from RNAcentral.